CUCCUACGGGAGGCAGCAGUGGGGAAUCUUGGACAAUGGGCGCAAGCCUGAUCCAGCCAUGCCGCGUGAGUGAUGAAGGCCUUAGGGUUGUAAAACUCUUUCGCCGAGGACGAUAAUGACGGUACUCGGAGAAGAAGCUCCGGCUAACUUCGUGCCAGCAGCCGCGGUAAUACGAAGGGGGCUAGCGUUGUUCGGAUUUACUGGGCGUAAAGCGCGUGUAGGCGGGCUGGAAAGUUGGGGGUGAAAUCCCGAGGCUCAACCUCGGAACUGCCUCCAAAACUUCCAGCCUGGACUCAAGCAGAGGCAAGUGGAAUUGCGAGUGUAGAGGUGAAAUUCGUAGAUAUUCGCAGGAACACCAGUGGCGAAGGUGACUUGCUGGGCUUGUAGUGACGCUGAGACGCGAAAGCGUGGGGAGCAAACAGGAUUAGAUACCCUGGUAGUCCACGCUGUAAACGAUGAGAGCUAGUUGUCGGCACGCAUGCGUGUCGGUGACGCAGCUAACGCAUAAGC
Molecule: ribosomal RNA, 510 nt
Filed under: uncultured bacterium
Lineage: Bacteria
Description: bacterial SSU rRNA
Rfam family: Bacterial small subunit ribosomal RNA
Source: RNAcentral